Molecule: ribosomal RNA, 468 nt
Filed under: uncultured bacterium
Lineage: Bacteria
Description: partial 16S ribosomal RNA
Rfam family: Bacterial small subunit ribosomal RNA
Source: RNAcentral
GACGAACGCUGGCGGCGUGCUUAACACAUGCAAGUCGAACGGAAAGGCCCUGAUUUUGUGGGGUUCUCGAUUGGCGAACGGGGGAGUGACACGCGAGUAACCUGCCCUUAUCUUUGUGAUAACAUCAGGAAACUGCGGCUAAUACCGGAUAGGAGCUCCUGCUGCAUGGUGGGGGUUGGUGAGUGUCGGCGGUUGGGGCUGGACUAGCGGCUUAUGAGCUUGUUGGUGUGGUAGUGACGUACAAAGGCUAUGACGGGUAGCCGGCCUGAGAGCUGGACCGGCGACAUGGGGACUGAGAUAGGGCCCAGUCUGCUACGGGAGGCAGCAGUGGGGAACAUUGCACAACGGGCGGAAGCCUGAUGCAGCAACGCUGCGUGCGGGAUGCCCUGCUACGGGGUGUAAACAGCUUUCGCCGGUGACGAAGAGUGAGUGACGGUAAUGGGUAAAGAAGCACCGGCUAACUACGUG